Molecule: transfer RNA, 74 nt
Filed under: Brookesia antakarana
Lineage: Eukaryota; Metazoa; Chordata; Lepidosauria; Squamata; Chamaeleonidae
Description: partial tRNA-Leu
Source: RNAcentral
ACUUUUAAAGGAAAGUAGUUAUCCGAUGGCCCUAGGAACCAGUAUUCUUGGUGCAAAUCCAAGUAAAAGUAAUG